RNAcentral lists this ribosomal RNA (465 nucleotides) under uncultured bacterium. RNAcentral describes it as "bacterial SSU rRNA". It matches the Rfam family "Bacterial small subunit ribosomal RNA", at positions 338 to 795 of the family's 1533-position model. The record is from RNAcentral.
CCUACGGGAUGCAGCAGUAGGGAAUCUUCGGCAAUGGACGAAAGUCUGACCGAGCAACGCCGCGUGAGUGAAGAAGGUUUUCGGAUCGUAAAACUCUGUUGUUAGAGAAGAACAAGUAGGAGAGUAACUGCUCUUACCUUGACGGUAUCUAACCAGAAAGCCACGGCUAACUACGUGCCAGCAGCCGCGGUAAUACGUAGGUGGCAAGCGUUGUCCGGAUUUAUUGGGCGUAAAGCGAGCGCAGGCGGUCUUUUAAGUCUGAUGUGUAAGCCCUCAGCUCAACCGAGGAAGGUCAUUGGAAACUGGAGGACUUGAGUGCAGAAGGGGAGAGUGGAAUUCCACGUGUAGCGGUGAAAUGCGUAGAGAUGUGGAGGAACACCAGUGGCGAAGGCGACUCUCUGGUCUGUAACUGACGCUGAGGAGCGAAAGCGUGGGGAGCGAACAGGAUUAGAUACCCGGGUAGUC